GGGGACCUUCGGCCGCCCGGUGGCUGCGGGUCCUCUGGUACCCGAGGCUGCCUGCGGCGGGCCCAGGCGGCCGCCCGCAGCGGCAGGGACUUCUGGAAGGACCCAGCCCGCUGCGCAGGGCCCUUCAGGUGACACUGAGCCUUCUAGAGUCCCCGGGUAAGGAGCCAUCGUUCCUCCACCUCCCCAGGGCGGGCCUGGCCACCUCCUUGUAACCCUCAUAACCGCCCUGCGGGUCGUGGCGGGGUGUCCCUAGGGGCUGUUUGACAACUAGACUUGACAAGGUCGCUCAGCCGCAGGGCAGCCACCAGGCAGAUCUGGUUUUCAGGACCCUCCACGAGGUGGCCGCGACCCGAUCCAGAUUCUCUAAACUCAGUCACCCUGAAACCAAACUGGCUGUCCUUCCCCUUCGCAGGCAGAGGGCUCAUCCUCAGUCCAAUUGGAACCUCGGUUACCUUUACUUACCUGCCACUCUUAGCCACUUCCCUGGUCCCCACCUUAUCAUACUCUUUGGUGGCUUAACUACAGCCAUCCUCCUUUCCCCACCCCCACUUUCUGGAUACUGUUCUUAUUCUCAAUCCAUAGAGACUUGCUGCUCUCCGUUCUCUCCUUGAGAGAUAAAAAGUUGCUCUUCUUUGUUCUCAAGAAACAGUAACUUGCCUUCUGCAAAAUCAGGUGAUACUUGCUAUGCCAGUGACAAGGGCCAAAUCCGCCGCUAACGCGCGGCCAUGAUCCCGGCCUAUUAAAGGUGAUACUCAAGGGGGAGUUGCUGCUGCGUCCCUCUCCUGCCACUGUCUCCGCGCGGAGCAGCCGGUCAGGUCCCUGACAAUAAAUCUGCUUAUGCCUCUAUCCUUGGAGUGUGCCCCUGUCCUGCUUCACAUUUCUUUCAGUCUUCAUCUUUUGCAACUAACCUGGUUUUCCAGUCCUACUGCCACCAUCUUUGCACCCCUCUGUCACAAACUUCUGUCACUAAUGUAAUCUGCCAUCUUAACUGCUUCUUUCUUUUUGCACAGGCCACUUUGUAGAGUCCUCCAACCCUUGCAUUGAAUGGUUCCCUUGUGUGUUUCCACACACACACACACACACAACUUGUUAAUGAUUUGCUAAGUCCAAAUCAAAACUCCUGAACUUGGCAUUCAAGAUAAUUUGAAAUCUGGCUCCAGCUUACCUUUCUAACCUGACCUCUCUUGGUUCCUUAAGUAGAGGUCAUAAACUGGCAGAUUCAACUGAAAAAUGGGUUUCCACCGGCCAGCAGAAUUUCUUUUUAAAUUUAACUCGAUAUUUGUUUUUAAAUUAGGUGAUAUUGUUCUUUAAAAAAUCCAAAUUUGAGGGCUGUAAUUGUGGCUCAGUGGUAGAGCAUUCACCUAGCAUGCGUGAGGCACUGGGUUUGAUCUAAAGCACCACAUAAAAAUAAAUAAAUAAAAUAAAGGUAUUGUGUCCAUCUACAACUAAAAAGUAUUUAAAAAAAAAAUCCAAAUUUCCA
This 1480-nucleotide long non-coding RNA is filed under the name Marmota monax (woodchuck). Lineage: Eukaryota; Metazoa; Chordata; Mammalia; Rodentia; Sciuridae. The record is from RNAcentral.